UACAGAGGUCUCAAGCGUUGUUCGGAUUCAUUGGGCGUAAAGGGUGCGUAGGCGGCGCGGUAAGUCGGGUGUGAAAUCUCCGAGCCUAACUCGGAAACUGCGUUGGAUACUAUCCGGCUAGAGGAAUGGAGGGGAGACUGGAAUACUUGGUGUAGCAGUGAAAUGCGUAGAUAUCAAGUGGAACACCAGUGGCGAAGGCGAGUCUCUGGACAUUUCCUGACGCUGAGGCACGAAAGCCAGGGGAGCAAACGGG
Molecule: ribosomal RNA, 253 nt
Filed under: uncultured prokaryote
Description: partial 16S ribosomal RNA
Rfam family: Bacterial small subunit ribosomal RNA
Source: RNAcentral